UGUGCUUGUCUCAUUUUCUUCUGCAUCUUCAUAGUGCAGGUCUUAGUCUUGCCAAAAACCACCGUUCUUGGAGUUUCGUUCGGGACGGCCUUCCUGCUGCUCGCCUUGAUCCUCGCCAUUUGUUUUGCUGGUCACAUACUGACCCUCAUCUUGUUAGAGAAAUGCCAUACCGGGAGGAAAAAACACCAUAUCAAAACAAGAUUGAAAUUUCCUUGUUUUAACCCCAGGAACAACACUCUUUCGCUGCUCUUAGAGAGCGUCGUCUAUAAUCAAAUUACCAGCUACUUUGGACCUGUGGAACAUAAAUGGCUUAAGUAAAUGUCAGCUGUAUGUCUCUCUAUUUUCUUUCUCCUGCUCUUUCUUCUUUAAUAUAUUAUGAAAGCUUAGAGCGAAAUGGCUUAUUCAAUAUUCAAAGGCCAGUAGAUUCACUCAUGGGAAAUCUGUCAAGAACAUGUUCUGGUCGUAUUCCACCAUGAAAUCAGAAGAAAAUUAAGCCUUUUUUAUGACCGCUAAGGUUUAUCGUAUUGUAAUAUUAAUUAAUUUCAAGCAGAUAUUAUUUAAAUUAUAUUUCUAAACUAAUGUUCAGUGUGACUUUUAUAUGGAAAAAAACAUUGCUUCAUAAUUUAAAUAAAUGCUGUUCUUUUGAACUCUCAGAAUCAUAAAAAAUGUAUUGCAGCACAGCUGUUUUCAACAUUGCAAAUAAUAUGAAUUCUUCUCAAGGAUCAGAUCAGCAUAUUAGAAAGAUAUCUGGAUCAUAGGAUCAUGUGACACGGAAAACUGGUGUAAUUAUGCUGAAAAUUCAACUUUGCAUCGCAGGAAUGAAUGAAUGCAGCCCUUUUGUCCGGACUCUUUAGAAAAUGUAAAAGACCUCUUUUCAAAAACAUCUUGCCAUCCCCAGAGCUUUUUGAACAGCAGUGUGCGUCAUGUUAGUAUUUGUUAUACUGCAUUAUUUUCUUUUUACAUUUAUUUUGCUUCUACGUUACAAAAUCAUUGUAUUACUGUAUUAUUACAUUUCCAUACCGAGAGUCUAUUGAGUAUGAACUUUGAGAUUGCUAAGAACUACUGAAAAAAUGAUCAUUGGAAUUUGGGGUCAUAAUGCAAAACCAUCACAAUGCUAUAAUUAUUAAUUUUAAAAAUAGGCUUCAGUAUUUGGCGGGAGGCUUUGACAGAUUGAAGCUCGUACGCUAUGUGAAAUUCCUAGUAUGAUUAGCGUAACGUGUUUUUCUGUAUAUUGAGGCAUUAUUUGUUAUAUUUUUAGAAGACAUGACCUUUUAUAGAUCUUGAAGGGUUUUUAUGACAUUCACCCACUAGCUAGCCUUGAUUUGUCCAUUAAUUAACCAAACCGUUUCAGCUGAAGAUUCAGAAUUCAUGAUGGUUAAAAAAAAUAGGCCACAUUGAAGGGUGACAUUGCUUUAGUCCCCAAACCCUUCUCUUUUUAUGUUUUUGUGUCAGAAGAAAAGAAGCUUGAAUGAUGAUACUUUUUACUGAGCUGUUUGUUGUUUCUUUUUCAUGCUGUAAACUAAAGCCCUUAUGGGUUUGGGGAUUGCGUGGCCAUUUUUAUAAAACUCUAGCGCUCACUCUUUUGGUUUCACAGACAACCGUCAAAAGUCAUAAGUGCCUGGAGCUCUAUGGAGUUUAGUUAAGAGUCUUUCUCAGUUUUGUUUCCCAUUUAUCUGAGGUUAGAGUUCACAUUCGGCCCACAGAUUUACAAAUAUAAAAGAGGGGUUAAGGUUAUCCAGUAGCAGUACUGUGUUUAAAUAUCGAAAGCUAUUUUUUGUAUAGAUGAUGCAACUUGACGCAUGAUAGAUUGGUGAGAGGGUUUCUCUACCUCUUUUGCUUCUUUUUAAUUUAAACCCAAAGCAUUCUUGCACAGGGUCUAGGUUAAGUGUUUUGUAAAGUGCUGUUCCACGGCAGCUCCUGACAAUGCAGCAUAAACUACUAAAGGUUACACAGCCCCUCUAUUAGUACUGCAAUCAGUACAAGGUGAGUUUUACAAAUAGAUGUUUCUUCAAGGCCGCAAAGUCUUAUUUCAGAUAAAAAGAGUUUGAUCUGUUUUCAUUCAGUUUACAUUUAGCUUGAAUUGAUAGUUUGUUUUGCAGAUUAAUAUUCUGUCCCUAUUUAGUCACCCUCGUGUCAAAUUUCAAAACCUACUGUUUUCUCUGUGCAAAACAAUCACCUUGGGGUUUUUUUUUAGCCUUCUUCAAAACCCCUGAAAAUGGGUUGGCAGUUGAUGCUAAAUUGUAAUCUUAUUGAAAAAACUAAUUGAAAACACAAACAAUGAAAGACUCCACAGGGGGAAAACCCCCAUACCAGCUAUGUUUCAGAAGGGAAGAAGUGCUUAAUUUAGUCAAUUGCAUUUUUAUGGAAAUUAUGGAAAUAAAAUGGGUUGUGAAUGACGUUUUAUGCUGACUUCCUCUUUCAAGUUGAUAUAGAUGAUUUUUGUGUUAUAUAUUCGCUCACUGUGAAGUUAUGUUUAUUAAUGUGUCUCUGACUUGUGGGUCACAAUCAUAACCUUGAGCAUUUGGAAGAGAAGCGGAUAUGCUAAUGACGUUGGUGGGAGUUAAGCUUGUUUUUUUUUUACAUUUCUCUUGUUG
Molecule: long non-coding RNA, 2594 nt
Organism: Puntigrus tetrazona (Sumatra barb)
Lineage: Eukaryota; Metazoa; Chordata; Actinopteri; Cypriniformes; Cyprinidae
Exons: 3
Source: RefSeq, a predicted model, not a curated record